This is a long non-coding RNA of Solanum tuberosum (potato), 483 nucleotides long. RefSeq lists it as uncharacterized. The transcript is spliced from 2 exons. The record is from RefSeq and is a predicted model, not a curated record. Lineage: Eukaryota; Viridiplantae; Streptophyta; Magnoliopsida; Solanales; Solanaceae.
UGGGUGUUUCAAAGAAGCUAAAAACAACUUAAGGAGCUCUCUGUUUGUAUAAUUUAGAAAAGAGUAAAAAAGGAUACGAAGGGCGGCGAGGAAUCAAGCAUGAACAGUAAUGGCAAAAACGAAGUGAAGAAGAUGACAAAACCCGCUUUCAGACCCGCAAAAGAUGACACAAAGCCACUUCUUCAAGACCCAAUACUCAGAUCAGACCCAAUUGAGACUGAGGAAGCUCUCUUGCGCUUGCCUCCUUUUCCUAUUUCUAAACCCAAAUCUCAAACCCAGUGAAUCUUUUUUUAAUUUUGUAUCUGAUAUGACUCAAUUUAUUUGGGCAGAAAUUGUGUUUCUAUGUAAUUUGAGUGUUCUGCAAAACCCCUUUUUACCCAAUGUAGAACAACUGUAUAUUCUCUGCACAAAAUAUUACUAGUCCUAGUUUCUUGUCCUUUGAUUUCACUGACUAUCCUUUGUUAUCGUAUUGCUUUGUUACUA